CCUUAUAACUCACUCAUGUCGAAUUUUAUCUUUAUAAGGUCGGACAAACUAGUCUUACUGAACUUCCAUUCUCAAAAUACAAAAGCACAAGCAAAGAAACUUACCCUAGAGGCUAGCGAUCCUAAGACCAAACUUCAAAAAACUCUCUCUGAGAAGAAGCAUAGAGUAGGGGGAGUUUUAACCUCUUUAAGCUCUAGAACUUUUGCCUCCUCUUCGAAUGAAAGAUGGUAAAAACUCAAAGCAUUCUUGCUCGACGAUUCCCACCAAGUCAGAAGGCUCCACAAAUCUGAUGAUGAAACAAAAAAAAAUUAUCCCUUCCAAA
This 322-nucleotide long non-coding RNA is filed under the name Elaeis guineensis (African oil palm). Its description in RNAcentral is "long non-coding RNA (EGUI_LNC033096)". The record is from RNAcentral. Lineage: Eukaryota; Viridiplantae; Streptophyta; Magnoliopsida; Arecales; Arecaceae.